AAGUCGUAACAAGGUUUCCGUAGGUGAACCUGCGGAAGGAUCAUUACAGAGAACAUCGCCCUCACGGGUGACUCUCCAACCCUGUGUUAUUGUACCUUUGUUGCUUUGGCGAGCCGCUUCGGCCACCGGCUUCUGCUGGUGUGUGCUCGCCAGAGGACCCCAAACUCUGAAUAUUAAUGUCGUCUGAGUACUAUAUAAUAGUUAAAACUUUCAACAACGGAUCUCUUGGUUCUG
RNAcentral lists this unclassified non-coding RNA (234 nucleotides) under air metagenome. RNAcentral describes it as "partial contains small subunit ribosomal RNA, internal transcribed spacer 1, and 5.8S ribosomal RNA". The stretch from base 1 to 46 matches the Rfam family "Eukaryotic small subunit ribosomal RNA", at positions 1786 to 1831 of the family's 1831-position model. The record is from RNAcentral.